AGCUGGCUCUGUGGGCAUCUUCCAAGGCCUGCGUGCCCUGCCCCGUACCAGUGCACUCAGGAGCUGUGUCCAUGCAGAGCUAUGAGCACUGGUGACACUCAGCCCAUCCAUAUGUCUGUCCAGGUCAUGUGUCCGAUUCCUCAGCAGGAACCAUAACUGCAGACACCAACACUCCUCUGAACCUCACAGUCAUUCAUGUGGUAUCAGUUACUGUCACCCUCCUGCUGUCUGCAGCCACCUUCUGGACCAUUAGGAAAGGUGCCUGCCGGGAGAGAUGCCGAAGGCAGCAGCCCGUUCCCAGCCAGCAGGUGCAAGCCACCGACUACGGAGAAAUCCAGUGUGAGUGCUGGGCACCCCUUUUCCAUGGGGACCCCCUUCCCUUGGGCUCCCAUUUGCCAUCCCACCUGUCCCUUUCCCACUUGGACAUGCAAAAACCAUUUCUCAAGAGUCAGUUUCUCCAGGGUGCU
Long non-coding RNA from Gallus gallus (chicken), 467 nucleotides. RefSeq lists it as uncharacterized. The record is from RefSeq and is a predicted model, not a curated record. NCBI's taxonomy places the organism in Eukaryota, Metazoa, Chordata, Aves, Galliformes, Phasianidae. The transcript is spliced from 4 exons.